Molecule: ribosomal RNA, 440 nt
Filed under: uncultured bacterium
Lineage: Bacteria
Description: partial 16S ribosomal RNA
Rfam family: Bacterial small subunit ribosomal RNA
Source: RNAcentral
CCUACGGGCGGCAGCAGUGGGGAAUAUUGCACAAUGGGGGAAACCCUGAUGCAGCGACGCCGCGUGGGUGAAGAAGUAUUUCGGUAUGUAAAGCCCUGUCAGCAGGGAAGAAAAUGACGGUACCUGAUUAAGAAGCCCCGGCUAACUACGUGCCAGCAGCCGCGGUAAUACGUAGGGGGCAAGCGUUAUCCGGAUUUACUGGGUGUAAAGGGAGCGUAGACGGCAGUGCAAGUCUGGAGUGAAAGGCCGUGGCUUAACCCCGGAACUGCUUUGGAAACUGUGCAGCUGGAGUGCAGGAGGGGUAAGUGGAAUUCCUAGUGUAGCGGUGAAAUGCGUAGAUAUUAGGAGGAACACCAGUGGCGAAGGCGGCUUACUGGACUGUAACUGACGUUGAGGCUCGAAAGCGUGGGGAGCAAACAGGAUUAGAUACCCUUGUAGUC